Molecule: long non-coding RNA, 2998 nt
Organism: Mesocricetus auratus (golden hamster)
Lineage: Eukaryota; Metazoa; Chordata; Mammalia; Rodentia; Cricetidae
Exons: 2
Source: RefSeq, a predicted model, not a curated record
UCCCUCUCUUUCUCUCUCCUCUCCUCUCCUCUCUUCUCCUGUCCCUCCCUCCUCUCCCUCCCCCCAACCCCAAUAACAUUUCAGCCUUCUACUGCUCAUGCGCUCUGAUCCAGGCGGGAAUUCUUUACUCUUUCCGUACACCUAACACCCCAUCCCCAUCCCUUCUAUAAAGCUGAGCUACCAGGCUCCUGAAAUUGAGCAGGGCUGGGUUUCGCAUCUAUCCAUGACGACUCCUGGAAGGAGUUGAGCAUAGUCUUAGGCAUUUUAAUAUCCAAACUCCUCAAGGAGCAUAGAAAGUUUGUCUUGCGUGCAAAGGACUCAAGGAAGGCAGGCUGCAGACUAUCUGGAGCAGAGAAGCUCCUAGAGUAGCGAACCCACUUUAUUCUCCUCCGUUCUGCCCCUUGUCUUUCUCUUCUUCCUUCUUAUCAUUUCCCCUACACCUAGCCCACAUACAUCCCCAUCACACUUGCCCUUUCUGUUUGGCUUCUUUAUUCCCCCUCUUCUUCCCCUCCUCCUCUCUCGCGCUCUAGCUCCAGCUCUUGCUCUCUCCCCUCUGUGAUGGCGCUCUUGGAAGUAGAAACCCAAAACUCCCAGCCUGACUAGAGAGACUGAACCAGAGGAGAUUAUGAAGAGAGGAGGGGAAGUCUUUUUUCAAACUCACUUCAGGCCUCCCUGAAAGGACUUUUCUUUCUUCAUUUCUUUCUUUUUUUUGUCACAGCUCAUAUUAAUUUAUCUGAGGGUAUUCUGGCAAAAAGAAAGCAAUCGAGAGAGAGAGAGAGAGAGAGAGAGAGAGAGAGAGAGAGAGAGAGAGAGAGAGAGAGAGAGGCUGUGGGCACACAAAUGGAGGAGCAGGUCUUUCCUCUGGAGGCUAUGGUAAAGGGACUAAUCUGAGGCUCCUGUAUUCUAUGCAGUGAUGACAGAUGAAGAUUCAAUGAAUGGAAACUAUGAUUACUUCCAUGAUCUGUGGCAACUUGUUGCCAAAGCUUUAACCUUAGUCCUUGCUAUCUUUAGGAGUCUACAGACAGGAUACCAUAGUUGACUACAUCCAUGACCUUCAGUCUAGAAUUGCCACCACAGUUGCCUGAGGAAGAUGAAGAUUUCAGUUCUGGCUCAGGAAUGACUGCUCCUUGUCUGCCCUAGGAUCUGCUGCUUUCUGAGCCUAAAUGGGCUGUUCCUCAUGGCCAAAGAUGCCACUGGACUUUCUUGGACCUUCCUGAGGGACACAGAAAGUCUAGUUUGUUUGUUGUUUUUUAAAGAGAAUUCUAAAUGUUGAAAAACAAAACAAAAACAAAAAACCUUUCUGCGAAGGGAGAAGUUUGAACAAAUUACAUGGAACACAAUUUAGAACUGAUGGGACUGCCCCCCUCCCUGAGGUAUUACAUCCCAUGAUUAGUAAAUAAAGGAUUUUGCUUGUUUGUUUUAUUUUGUUUGUUUUCUUUUGUAUUAGAGGCAAGAUCUCAAGGAGGCCAGGAUGGUCUAGAACUUAAAUGGUUUUGAGCUUCUACUCCUUCUGCCACCAGUCUCUAGGAGCUGAGUCCAUAGAUAUUCAGUAGCACAAAUGAGUUAAAGUGGUGCUGAUAAAGGAACCUAGGACUCCAUGCAUGCUAAACAAGUCCUCGGCCAACUGAGCCACAACCCUACUCCCUAAAUAAGGGUUUAAAAUUUUUAAUAAUUGACUUAUUUUCUAAAGCUUGGUACAUUCUUCAUUCAUCCCUGCUUGGGGCAAGGGAUUUAGCAAGGGAUUAACUCCCACAAUAAUUUCUCUAGCUUUGAAUAGCCUGUAUCUCUCUACUCUGCCUUAGGAAGGUCUUAGGCAAUUACAAAUAGAUUCUGUGUGCACACUCACAUGCACAUACACACACACAGAAAUACACACACAGACACACACAGACAGAUACACACACAGACACACACACACACACACACACACACACACACACACACACACCCUGUAGGAAAGAGAGACAUUUGACUUCUGUUCCCUAAACCAAGGCCAUUUGUGGCAAUUUUAAAACUAGACUCUGAGAAUUCAUCUUCUUUCCUGGCUUUCCCCCUCUCCCUAUGCUUCAUUUAGUUAGCCCUUUAAUGAGAGGCACUUCUAUCAGGACUCUUGGUUUGUUUUGCCUUCCCUUCAUCUGUGGAUAGUUGUCACCAAAUUUCAGUGAAUUUCAAGUCUGAUCUCUGAGCAAAGUGAAUAAUGUAUUGAGGUGAGUCUAUGCUGAGCCUCCAAAGGGCUCAAAGCACAGCAUACACACUGGAAGCACAACUGUGUUCCUUCUUGUCCACCUAUGUCUGUCCAUCAAACCUCAGAACUGAAAUAGUAACCCAGAGUGCAAGAGCAUAGGUACCAUAGGCCAGGAAGUAAAAUCCUCUUACCUAAACCUAGGUGAUAUACAAUUAAUUAUUCAGGAUGUGUCAAAUUCACAAUCCAUUUUAAUUUGUUAAUUAUUUUAUUUGAACCAACUUGGAUUCUUAAUAUGCAUACUGUGAUCCGAUCCUCAUUAGAAGUUUUGAAUAACAAUACAGCCUGAACAGGGGUUUUUAAAAAAGCAUUUUCUGUUAUUUUCAGAACCAUUUGGAAGCCUGGUGAGCAUGCUGAACUCCUAACAGUCAUGUGUUUGCUUCUCAUUUUCACAGGAGAAGAAAAUGUUAACUUUCCAUUAGCAGGCUGUAGCGAGAAAGAUUUUUUAAAAAUCCAAGUUUACAGACCUUCUGAAUUGGUGUUUCUGUAAAGCCGCAAUCGUUUCCUCAUCACCAAGGAAGUCUUGUAUUUCAUUUUCUGAGUCUGAGCCUGCUUGAGAAGAAAAGGGCUGAGUAAAACAACACACCAAGAAUCUGUGGCUUGAAUGUAUGAAAGAAAGAUGUUAGUCUGAAAACAAUUUUUUAGCCUUUCUUUGAUCAUUUUCAAAUUGGGAAACACAAGAAAAAAUUUCUGGAGACUACUCACUUUUCCUGUAAAAUGGCAUGGGUUGGUAAUAAAAACACUGAAAAAUCCUUA